Molecule: ribosomal RNA, 467 nt
Filed under: uncultured bacterium
Lineage: Bacteria
Description: partial 16S ribosomal RNA
Rfam family: Bacterial small subunit ribosomal RNA
Source: RNAcentral
GAUGAACGCUGGCGGCGUGCUUAACACAUGCAAGUCGAACGGUGAAGGCGGAGCUUGCUCUGCUGGAUCAGUGGCGAACGGGUGAGUAACACGUGAGCAAUCUGCCCCUGACUCUGGGAUAAGCGCUGGAAACGGCGUCUAAUACUGGAUACGAGCUGCGAAGGCAUCUUCAGCAGCUGGAAAGAACUUCGGUCAGGGAUGAGCUCGCGGCCUAUCAGCUUGUUGGUGAGGUAACGGCUCACCAAGGCGUCGACGGGUAGCCGGCCUGAGAGGGUGACCGGCCACACUGGGACUGAGACACGGCCCAGACUCCUACGGGAGGCAGCAGUGGGGAAUAUUGCACAAUGGGCGAAAGCCUGAUGCAGCAACGCCGCGUGAGGGACGACGGCCUUCGGGUUGGAAACCUCUUUUAGCAGGGAAGAAGCGAAAGUGACGGUACCUGCAGAAAAAGCGCCGGCUAACUACGU